GGGUUGUGAGGUUAAGCGACUAAGCGUACACGGUGGAUGCCCUGGCAGUCAGAGGCGAUGAAGGACGUGCUAAUCUGCGAUAAGCGUCGGUAAGGUGAUAUGAACCGUUAUAACCGGCGAUUUCCGAAUGGGGAAACCCAGUGUGUUUCGACACACUAUCAUUAACUGAAUCCAUAGGUUAAUGAGGCGAACCGGGGGAACUGAAACAUCUAAGUACCCCGAGGAAAAGAAAUCAACCGAGAUUCCCCCAGUAGCGGCGAGCGAACGGGGAGCAGCCCAGAGCCUGAAUCAGUGUGUGUGUUAGUGGAAGCGUCUGGAAAGGCGCGCGAUACAGGGUGACAGCCCCGUACACAAAAAUGCACAUGCUGUGAGCUCGAUGAGUAGGGCGGGACACGUGGUAUCCUGUCUGAAUAUGGGGGGACCAUCCUCCAAGGCUAAAUACUCCUGACUGACCGAUAGUGAACCAGUACCGUGAGGGAAAGGCGAAAAGAACCCCGGCGAGGGGAGUGAAAAAGAACCUGAAACCGUGUACGUACAAGCAGUGGGAGCACGCUUAGGCGUGUGACUGCGUACCUUUUGUAUAAUGGGUCAGCGACUUAUAUUCUGUAGCAAGGUUAACCGAAUAGGGGAGCCGAAGGGAAACCGAGUCUUAACUGGGCGUUAAGUUGCAGGGUAUAGACCCGAAACCCGGUGAUCUAGCCAUGGGCAGGUUGAAGGUUGGGUAACACUAACUGGAGGACCGAACCGACUAAUGUUGAAAAAUUAGCGGAUGACUUGUGGCUGGGGGUGAAAGGCCAAUCAAACCGGGAGAUAGCUGGUUCUCCCCGAAAGCUAUUUAGGUAGCGCCUCGUGAAUUCAUCUCCGGGGGUAGAGCACUGUUUCGGCAAGGGGGUCAUCCCGACUUACCAACCCGAUGCAAACUGCGAAUACCGGAGAAUGUUAUCACGGGAGACACACGGCGGGUGCUAACGUCCGUCGUGAAGAGGGAAACAACCCAGACCGCCAGCUAAGGUCCCAAAGUCAUGGUUAAGUGGGAAACGAUGUGGGAAGGCCCAGACAGCCAGGAUGUUGGCUUAGAAGCAGCCAUCAUUUAAAGAAAGCGUAAUAGCUCACUGGUCGAGUCGGCCUGCGCGGAAGAUGUAACGGGGCUAAACCAUGCACCGAAGCUGCGGCAGCGACGCUGAUGCGUUGUUGGGUAGGGGAGCGUUCUGUAAGCCUGUGAAGGUGUGCUGUGAGGCAUGCUGGAGGUAUCAGAAGUGCGAAUGCUGACAUAAGUAACGAUAAAGCGGGUGAAAAGCCCGCUCGCCGGAAGACCAAGGGUUCCUGUCCAACGUUAAUCGGGGCAGGGUGAGUCGACCCCUAAGGCGAGGCCGAAAGGCGUAGUCGAUGGGAAACAGGUUAAUAUUCCUGUACUUGGUGUUACUGCGAAGGGGGGACGGAGAAGGCUAUGUUGGCCGGGCGACGGUUGUCCCGGUUUAAGCGUGUAGGCUGGUUUUCCAGGCAAAUCCGGAAAAUCAAGGCUGAGGCGUGAUGACGAGGCACUACGGUGCUGAAGCAACAAAUGCCCUGCUUCCAGGAAAAGCCUCUAAGCAUCAGGUAACAUCAAAUCGUACCCCAAACCGACACAGGUGGUCAGGUAGAGAAUACCAAGGCGCUUGAGAGAACUCGGGUGAAGGAACUAGGCAAAAUGGUGCCGUAACUUCGGGAGAAGGCACGCUGAUACGUAGGUGAAGUCCCUCGCGGAUGGAGCUGAAAUCAGUCGAAGAUACCAGCUGGCUGCAACUGUUUAUUAAAAACACAGCACUGUGCAAACACGAAAGUGGACGUAUACGGUGUGACGCCUGCCCGGUGCCGGAAGGUUAAUUGAUGGGGUCAGCGCAAGCGAAGCUCUUGAUCGAAGCCCCGGUAAACGGCGGCCGUAACUAUAACGGUCCUAAGGUAGCGAAAUUCCUUGUCGGGUAAGUUCCGACCUGCACGAAUGGCGUAAUGAUGGCCAGGCUGUCUCCACCCGAGACUCAGUGAAAUUGAACUCGCUGUGAAGAUGCAGUGUACCCGCGGCAAGACGGAAAGACCCCGUGAACCUUUACUAUAGCUUGACACUGAACAUUGAGCCUUGAUGUGUAGGAUAGGUGGGAGGCUUAGAAGUGUGGACGCCAGUCUGCAUGGAGCCGACCUUGAAAUACCACCCUUUAAUGUUUGAUGUUCUAACGUGGACCCGUAAUCCGGGUUGCGGACAGUGUCUGGUGGGUAGUUUGACUGGGGCGGUCUCCUCCUAAAGAGUAACGGAGGAGCACGAAGGUUGGCUAAUCCUGGUCGGACAUCAGGAGGUUAGUGCAAUGGCAUAAGCCAGCUUGACUGCGAGCGUGACGGCGCGAGCAGGUGCGAAAGCAGGUCAUAGUGAUCCGGUGGUUCUGAAUGGAAGGGCCAUCGCUCAACGGAUAAAAGGUACUCCGGGGAUAACAGGCUGAUACCGCCCAAGAGUUCAUAUCGACGGCGGUGUUUGGCACCUCGAUGUCGGCUCAUCACAUCCUGGGGCUGAAGUAGGUCCCAAGGGUAUGGCUGUUCGCCAUUUAAAGUGGUACGCGAGCUGGGUUUAGAACGUCGUGAGACAGUUCGGUCCCUAUCUGCCGUGGGCGCUGGAGAACUGAGGGGGGCUGCUCCUAGUACGAGAGGACCGGAGUGGACGCAUCACUGGUGUUCGGGUUGUCAUGCCAAUGGCACUGCCCGGUAGCUAAAUGCGGAAGAGAUAAGUGCUGAAAGCAUCUAAGCACGAAACUUGCCCCGAGAUGAGUUCUCCCUGACUCCUUGAGAGUCCUGAAGGAACGUUGAAGACGACGACGUUGAUAGGC
Molecule: ribosomal RNA, 2849 nt
Filed under: Escherichia coli
Lineage: Bacteria; Pseudomonadati; Pseudomonadota; Gammaproteobacteria; Enterobacterales; Enterobacteriaceae
Description: partial 23S ribosomal RNA
Rfam family: Bacterial large subunit ribosomal RNA
Source: RNAcentral